This is a long non-coding RNA of Amphimedon queenslandica, 265 nucleotides long. RefSeq lists it as uncharacterized. The transcript has 3 exons. NCBI's taxonomy places the organism in Eukaryota, Metazoa, Porifera, Demospongiae, Haplosclerida, Niphatidae. The record is from RefSeq and is a predicted model, not a curated record.
GGAACAAGUAUCCGGUUAGUAGCUAUGUCCGCUAAUACAGGCCAGCCAGCUCAAGACAAGGUAUUAGAUGCCGCCAUAGUUGCUAUACUGGCGAAAGUAGGGGAUGUGAAGGGCUCACUCUCUAAUUUUGUGGGGAAAAUGGAACACGAAUCACUCACGUGGCCAAGUGUCCUUGACAGCUUUUCUGCAUUGUCAGGUCAGUUUGAGUGAGGAGUCGUCUGAAUAGCGUAAAUUAAAUUAGGAAAAAUUUUGCAAUUUACCAAAA